ACUUUGCUAUCAGUGCAGCUGCUUGGGUACUACGAGCGAGUGCUUAAAACUCAAAGAACUUGGCGGCUUGUUAACUACCUAGGGGAAUAUGCGCCUUAAUCCGAUGGUCCCCGUAGCAUCUUACUGGAUCUUGAAAAAGUGCAGUUGGUGUAUUGCCGUUGUCAGCUUGUUGUUCGAGCAAGGAAAAACAGGCUUAAUGGAUCUUGGUGAUUAUGUUCACGAGAACCCGUGAAUUCAGGUCGUAAUGCUGCCUACGGUCCAAGGGAGUGGGUAUUACAAUUUAUAUUUAAAAUUACGGAACUUUAUUUUGAAAUUUUAGAGUGGAAGGUGAACUUAGGAGUAAGGGAAGAUUAAUAUGCUAUCCUGAACGUGAAUCUAACUUGUGUACACAUCGC
RNAcentral lists this ribosomal RNA (395 nucleotides) under Nodipecten nodosus. Its description in RNAcentral is "partial 12S ribosomal RNA". It matches the Rfam family "Bacterial small subunit ribosomal RNA", at positions 874 to 1393 of the family's 1533-position model. Lineage: Eukaryota; Metazoa; Mollusca; Bivalvia; Pectinida; Pectinidae. The record is from RNAcentral.